GACGAACGCUGGCGGCGUGCUUAACACAUGCAAGUCGAACGGAAAGGCCCUGCUUUUGUGGGGUGCUCGAGUGGCGAACGGGUGAGUAACACGUGAGUAACCUGCCCUUGACUUUGGGAUAACUUCAGGAAACUGGGGCUAAUACCGGAUAGGAGCUCCUGCUGCAUGGUGGGGGUUGGAAAGUUUCGGCGGUUGGGGAUGGACUCGCGGCUUAUCAGCUUGUUGGUGGGGUAGUGGCUUACCAAGGCUUUGACGGGUAGCCGGCCUGAGAGGGUGACCGGCCACAUUGGGACUGAGGUACGGCCCAGACUCCUACCGGAGGCAACAGUGGGGAAUAUUGCACAAUGGGCGGAAGCCUGAUACAGCAACGCCGCGUGCGGGAUGACGGCCUUCGGGUUGUAAACCGCUUUCGCCUGUGACGAAGCGUGAGUGACGGUAAUGGGUAAAGAAGCACCGGCUAACUACGUG
RNAcentral lists this ribosomal RNA (468 nucleotides) under uncultured bacterium. RNAcentral describes it as "partial 16S ribosomal RNA". It matches the Rfam family "Bacterial small subunit ribosomal RNA", at positions 28 to 507 of the family's 1533-position model. The record is from RNAcentral.